RNAcentral lists this ribosomal RNA (468 nucleotides) under uncultured bacterium. Its description in RNAcentral is "partial 16S ribosomal RNA". It matches the Rfam family "Bacterial small subunit ribosomal RNA", at positions 28 to 507 of the family's 1533-position model. The record is from RNAcentral.
GACGAACGCUGGCGGCGUGCUUAACACAUGCAAGUCGAACGGAAAGGCCCUGCUUUUGUUGGGUGCUCGAUUGGCGAACGGGUGAGUAACACGUGAGGAACCUGCCCUUGACUUUGGGAUAACUUCAGGAAACUGGGGCUAAUACCGGAUAGGAGCUCCUGCUGCAUGGUGGGGGUUGGAAAGUUUCGGCUGUUGGGGAUGGACUCGCGGGUUAUCAGCUUGUUGGUGGGGUAGUGGCUUACCAAGGCUUUGACGGGUAGCCGGCCUGAGAGGGUGGACGGCGACAUUGGGACUGAGAUACGGACCAGAAGGCAACGGGCGGCAGCAGGCGGGAAUAUUGCGCAAUGGGCGGAAGCCUGAGGCAACAACGCCGCGUGCGGGAUGACGGGCUUCGGGUUGUAAACAGCUUUGGACUGUGACGAACCGUGAGUGACGGUAAUGGGUAAAGAAGCACCGGCUAACUACGUG